RNAcentral lists this non-coding RNA (111 nucleotides) under Luteipulveratus mongoliensis. Its description in RNAcentral is "TPP sequence". It matches the Rfam family "TPP riboswitch aptamer (THI element)". Rfam says of the family: Vitamin B(1) in its active form thiamin pyrophosphate (TPP) is an essential coenzyme that is synthesised by coupling of pyrimidine and thiazole moieties in bacteria. The previously detected thiamin-regulatory element, thi box was extended, resulting in a new, highly conserved RNA secondary structure, the THI element, which is widely distributed in eubacteria and also occurs in some archaea. Lineage: Bacteria; Bacillati; Actinomycetota; Actinomycetes; Micrococcales; Dermacoccaceae. The record is from Rfam by way of RNAcentral.
CACGUCCUUCGCGGGAGUCCGGCGCACCGGGCUGAGAGGGGGCUGUCGCGGCCUCGACCGUUCCGACUUGAUCCGGGUCAUGCCGGCGCAAGGAGAAGUCGAUCGUGUCGU